GACGAACGCUGGCGGCGUGCUUAACACAUGCAAGUCGAACGGGUCUGCCCUGUUUUUUGCGGGGUGGGUCAGUGGCGAACGGGUGAGUAACACGUGAGUAACCUGCCCCUCACUUCUGGAUAACCGCUUGAAAGGGUGGCUAAUACGGGGUGUUCUGGCUGUGCCGCAUGGUGUGGCUGGGAAAGAUUCACUUUUGCGGUGUUUUGGUGGGGGAUGGGCUCGCGGCCUAUCAGCUUGUUGGUGGGGUGAUGGCCUGCCAAGGCUUUGACGGGUAGCCGGCCUGAGAGGGUGGGCGGUCACACUGGGACUGAGAUACGGCCCAGACUCAUGCGGGAGGCAGCAGUGGGGGGUAUUGCACAAUGGGCGGAAGCCUGAUGCAGCGACGUCGCGUGAGGGAUGGAGGCCUUCGGGUUGUGAACCUCUUUCGCCGGUGAAGAAGGUCCUGCUCUUUGUGGUGGGGUUGACGGUAGCCGGGUUAUGAAGCGCCGGCUAACUACGUG
RNAcentral lists this ribosomal RNA (500 nucleotides) under uncultured bacterium. Its description in RNAcentral is "partial 16S ribosomal RNA". It matches the Rfam family "Bacterial small subunit ribosomal RNA", at positions 28 to 507 of the family's 1533-position model. The record is from RNAcentral.